GCUGGCUUAGGCAGCAGACAUACUAAAACUGAGACGAUUUAGAGAAGCUUAGCAUGGGCCCUGCCCCAGGGUGAAGCAUUCCAUAGUUUUAAAAGUUUAC
RNAcentral lists this small nuclear RNA (100 nucleotides) under Mus pahari (shrew mouse). The record is from RNAcentral. Lineage: Eukaryota; Metazoa; Chordata; Mammalia; Rodentia; Muridae.